RNAcentral lists this transfer RNA (70 nucleotides) under Dibamus bourreti. Its description in RNAcentral is "tRNA-Lys". The record is from RNAcentral. Lineage: Eukaryota; Metazoa; Chordata; Lepidosauria; Squamata; Dibamidae. RNAcentral also lists the same sequence under 1 other name.
CAUUAAGAAGCUUUGUACAGCGAUAGCCUUUUAAGCUAUAGAUGGGACGUCACAACCCUCCCCUCAAUGA